GGCCCCUUCGGGGGUACACGAGCGGCGAACGGGUGAGUAACACGUGAGCAACCUACCCUCAACUUCGGGAUAAGCCUCGGAAACAAGGUCUAAUACCGGAUAUCACUCCUUUCCUCAUGGUUUGGGGUUGAAAGUUCUGGCGGUUGGGGAUGGGCUCGCGGCCUAUCAGCUUGUUGGUGGGGUAAUGGCCUACCAAGGCGUCGACGGGUAGCCGGCCUGAGAGGGCGACCGGCCACACUGGGACUGAGACACGGCCCAGACUCCUACGGGAGGCAGCAGUGGGGAAUAUUGCGCAAUGGACGAAAGUCUGACGCAGCAACGCCGCGUGAGGGAUGACGGCCUUCGGGUUGUAAACCUCUUUCAGCAGGGACGAAGCGAGAGUGACGGUACCUGCAGAAGAAGGACCGGCCAACUACGUGCCAGCAGCCGCGGUAAUACGUAGGGUCCGAGCGUUGUCCGGAAUUAUUGGGCGUAAAGGGCUCGUAGGCGGUUCGUCACGUCGGGAGUGAAAACUCGGAGCUCAACUCCGAGCCUGCUUCCGAUACGGGCAGACUAGAGGUAGGCAGGGGAGAGCGGAACUCCUGGUGUAGCGGUGGAAUGCGCAGAUAUCAGGAAGAACACCGGUGGCGAAGGCGGCUCUCUGGGCCUUACCUGACGCUGAGGAGCGAAAGCGUGGGUAGCGAACAGGAUUAGAUACCCUGGUAGUCCACGCCGUAAACGUUGGGCGCUAGGUGUGGGGGACAUUCCACGUCCUCCGUGCCGCAGCUAACGCAUUAAGCGCCCCGCCUGGGGAGUACGGCCGCAAGGCUAAAACUCAAAGGAAUUGACGGGGGCCCGCACAAGCGGCGGAGCAUGCGGAUUAAUUCGAUGCAACGCGAAGAACCUUACCUGGGUUUGACAUAUAGGGAAAUCCUCCAGAGAUGGGGGGUCCGUAAGGGUCCUAUACAGGUGGUGCAUGGCUGUCGUCAGCUCGUGUCGUGAGAUGUUGGGUUAAGUCCCGCAACGAGCGCAACCCUCGUCCUAUGUUGCCAGCACGUUAUGGUGGGGACUCAUAGGAGACUGCCGGGGUCAACUCGGAGGAAGGUGGGGAUGACGUCAAGUCAUCAUGCCCCUUAUGUCCAGGGCUUCACGCAUGCUACAAUGGCCGGUACAAAGGGCUGCGAAACCGCAAGGUGGAGCGAAUCCCAAAAAGCCGGUCUCAGUUCGGAUUGGGGUCUGCAACUCGACCCCAUGAAGUCGGAGUCGCUAGUAAUCGCAGAUCAGCAACGCUGCGGUGAAUACGUUCCCGGGCCUUGUACACACCGCCCGUCACGUCAUGAAAGUCGGCAACACCCGAAGCCGG
RNAcentral lists this ribosomal RNA (1342 nucleotides) under Kribbella sp. Its description in RNAcentral is "bacterial SSU rRNA". It matches the Rfam family "Bacterial small subunit ribosomal RNA", at positions 73 to 1430 of the family's 1533-position model. Lineage: Bacteria; Bacillati; Actinomycetota; Actinomycetes; Propionibacteriales; Kribbellaceae. The record is from RNAcentral.